Molecule: long non-coding RNA, 2344 nt
Filed under: Triticum aestivum (bread wheat)
Lineage: Eukaryota; Viridiplantae; Streptophyta; Magnoliopsida; Poales; Poaceae
Description: long non-coding RNA (TAES_LNC021003)
Source: RNAcentral
AACCAGAUCUGUGCACCAGCAUCGCGAUACGGAUCGUCGUAGCGCGACGACGUCUGUCAAGUUGCUGCAAAUAAAAGAGCCCGCUGCGGUUUGGACGGGGCAGAUGAGAUCGAAAAUACAUGCAUAGCGAGGUCCGCACGGGUCACGUGUGUACUUGAACUGAAAUGAAAUAUAAUCUCUUUUCUCGGUCAGACGUAUGCGUCCUCGAUCAAGGCCAUAGAAUAGAAGGAUCCGAUCUGCGUUUGGCUUGAGAGAGAAGCACGGUACUGGUCUGUCUCGUUGUCUAGGCAGGGCCAACAAAUAAUGGGUCGCACUCGCACAUGCUCCCCUCAUCCAGUGGGCCAAUGGGGGGACACGUGGCUAUUUUGUCCCUUUGUGAAGCAUCAACCGCAGAUCAUUCGGCACUGCAGCAGUAUGUUGCUCUCUGCUGUGGAAUUAGUCGGUUCCUCUCCUUGAUAUAGCUGUGAAUGAAUUAGGAAAAGUGGGUAGAUUUGUUUUUAGCUCUAGUCCAAAAAGCGUCGUGGAGUUUGCCGACGUGGUCGAUGUCAGGUGGAAAUCCGGUACGUGGAGGCGGCCCACGCGUUUGACUAGGACCGGGUAAAGGGAAAGCCACGGAGCGGUCUGUCUGGCGGCUAUCUUCGUACUCCUCCAACCAACCCCCCUGCAAACAGGGAGGCCAGCUUUUGUUUCUUUUCAUUUCAUACUCGAGAAGAGAAACAGCAAAGCCGUGGAGUCAGCGCCGGUCCAAGGUUCAGACACCGUCUCCACACGAUUUUCUUCUCUCUGUGCGUCAUCUCGCAGUCAGCUCCGAGAUGGGUUACAGCAUGAGGUCCAUGUCGUGACCUUUUACUUUCGGAAAAACAUUUGUUUCGGGGUCAUGGUCAAGAAUGCCUGCUCGAGAGCUCAACGAGGGUCACGACUGGGACGCAGCUUCGGUGUCUUAAAGACACCUGCCUUUGGGUCAGUGACAUAUGGGCCAGCCAUCUGUUGGGCCCACAUGUCAUAGACACAAAGGUAGGUGCCUUAAGGCACCGAAGCAUCGUCCCUAGGAUUGAGACCUUUUUACGUUCGUUAGCCAACUAAGAGCAAUUUCAACCGAAUGAUUCAUUUCGUCCGACCAUGUUUGUUUGGAUCUGCGCGGACAAAAACGAUUGCCCAACGCAGCGGACACGCGAGAGCUGCGGGACGAGACGCGGCCGAAAACUAGCGGGCAAGGCAGUGCGGGAGUUCGACCGAAUAACAACGUGGACAUAUCUAAAAUGCGUCCAGCCCCAUUGAACGCACCGGCCGACCCAAAUCAAAAAAGCAAACACAGACGGCCGGACAGGCGACCCAAACGGAUAAAAAAGGAUAAAAUCUGCGUCUGUUUGGGUUGCUGAGAUGGAGUUGCUUUAACCACAUGUAAGCUGCAAGUCAACGGAGAUGAACCAGCCACAUCACAUGUGUAUCAGGUCGGAUCGCUCCAACCUCAACAAAACGUAUCUGUUUCUUUCGAUGCUCACUCCAGCAAAUAACCAUGCAGAGAGAGAAUAGAAAUGCAAAUGGAGCAGAAGCAUCCAGCGACAGGGACAUUGGCAAAGCAGCCACGUGAAGCUUUAGUAUAGCAGCCCCGUGUGUCCCUUGGCAUCUGUUAUUUAGCAAAUAUACGCCACACAAUCUCAGACUAAACUAAGCCUGUGAGGCUGCGAUUAUUUAAACCUUCCCGUCAAAAGCAUCCACUCAGCACGAUCUUGCAGCCCCACGGCCACUAGCCAUUGAAAAUGCAUGCUGCUUUGCGACUUACCAUCGCCGCAACACUCAUAAUCUUUACUAGUUGCUCACUGAGGGAACAUAAAAUUUUGCUGCAGAAAAGCAAAACAAAGCCAUGACAUCAUCCCUCGCAAACAAGAUAACAUAAAUGCAAAGUAACUCAUGUUAGAAGCCACGAUACUUUAUUGGUAAUUUUCCGGUCAACUCAAGCCAUCUUUCUCAUGAAGAUGCUACUGGAUAUCAUUCAUGCAGUAAAGUGUAAACAACACGGGCCCUGUCAUUUCCUUCGUUUCUAUGGGGCCUUUUACACAUAUCUGAGAGGUGGGUUAACCAAUACACACCCACAAAGCAGUUUGACUAGCCAAAUUUACAUGCUACCACCACGAACAUAUGAGAUCUAAUUCCGAUGGUUCGACAACUCCUAUGCAACACAGGAUGAAUUCUCCUACUAGGGCGGCAUAGCUGAAGCCGUUGAACCAUGAAAUCUGAUCAAUCAUGCAUUGGGAUUGCUGAGAGGCCUAAUCAAGUGCUGUUGCGCGCUGGUGGUGCACUAUUGACGCUCUGAUGCUCUCACCUGCAAAAGGUUAGAUAGACU